This 28-nucleotide small RNA is filed under the name Bombyx mori (domestic silkworm). RNAcentral's name for it is "ovarian small RNA-7871". Lineage: Eukaryota; Metazoa; Arthropoda; Insecta; Lepidoptera; Bombycidae. The record is from RNAcentral.
UGAAACUUGACCGUGGCCUGUCUCGUGA